RNAcentral lists this transfer RNA (58 nucleotides) under Macropostrongyloides dissimilis. RNAcentral describes it as "tRNA-His". The record is from RNAcentral. Lineage: Eukaryota; Metazoa; Nematoda; Chromadorea; Rhabditida; Strongylidae.
AGCUUGUUAGUUUAUGUUUAAAAUUUUUGUUUGUGGUACAAAAGAAAGUAUUAGCUAU